GUGAGGAAUAUUGGACAAUGGAUGGAAAUCUGAUCCAGCCAUGCCGCGUGCAGGAAGACGGCCCUAUGGGUUGUAAACUGCUUUUAUACGGGAGCAAUAAGGUCUAUGCAUAGAUUGAUGAGAGUACCGUAUGAAUAAGCAUCGGCUAACUCCGUGCCAGCAGCCGCGGUAAUACGGAGGAUGCGCGCGUUAUCCGGAUUUAUUGGGUUUAAAGGGUGCGUAGGCGGCUUUGUAAGUCAGCGGUGAAAUUUUGCAGCUUAACUGUAAAAGCGCCGUUGAUACUGUGAAGCUAGGAUUUGGUUGCUGUGGGCGGAAUGUGUGGUGUAGCGGUGAAAUGCAUAGAGAUCACACAGAAUAUCGAUUGCGAAGGCAGCUCACAAAGCCAAUAUUGACGCUGAGGCACGAAAGUGUGGGGAUCAAACAGGAUUAGAUACCCCGGUAGUCC
This 445-nucleotide ribosomal RNA is filed under the name uncultured bacterium. RNAcentral describes it as "partial 16S ribosomal RNA". It matches the Rfam family "Bacterial small subunit ribosomal RNA", at positions 354 to 796 of the family's 1533-position model. The record is from RNAcentral.